Molecule: transfer RNA, 71 nt
Filed under: Myxococcales bacterium
Lineage: Bacteria; Pseudomonadati; Myxococcota; Myxococcia; Myxococcales
Also listed under: 1 other name
Description: tRNA-Arg
Rfam family: tRNA
About the family: Transfer RNA (tRNA) molecules are approximately 80 nucleotides in length.
Source: RNAcentral
GCCCCCGCCCCGGCGGCUCCGGGCGCUGGUCUUCUAAACCGGACGCGAGGGUUCGACCCCCUCCGGGGGCU